UCCCUGGAGGACUAGUGGUUAGGCCUCGGCGCUCACCGCCGCGGCCUGGGUUCGAUUCCCGGCCAGGGAA
Molecule: transfer RNA, 70 nt
Filed under: Pangasianodon hypophthalmus (striped catfish)
Lineage: Eukaryota; Metazoa; Chordata; Actinopteri; Siluriformes; Pangasiidae
Description: tRNA-Sec
Source: RNAcentral